This 2055-nucleotide ribosomal RNA is filed under the name Salmonella enterica subsp. enterica. RNAcentral describes it as "partial 23S ribosomal RNA". It matches the Rfam family "Bacterial large subunit ribosomal RNA", at positions 911 to 2925 of the family's 2925-position model. The record is from RNAcentral. Lineage: Bacteria; Pseudomonadati; Pseudomonadota; Gammaproteobacteria; Enterobacterales; Enterobacteriaceae.
UGUUUCGGCUAGGGGGCCAUCCCGGCUUACCAACCCGAUGCAAACUGCGAAUACCGGAGAAUGUUAUCACGGGAGACACACGGCGGGUGCUAACGUCCGUCGUGAAGAGGGAAACAACCCAGACCGCCAGCUAAGGUCCCAAAGUCAUGGUUAAGUGGGAAACGAUGUGGGAAGGCCCAGACAGCCAGGAUGUUGGCUUAGAAGCAGCCAUCAUUUAAAGAAAGCGUAAUAGCUCACUGGUCGAGUCGGCCUGCGCGGAAGAUGUAACGGGGCUAAACCAUGCACCGAAGCUGCGGCAGCGACACUUUAGUGUUGUUGGGUAGGGGAGCGUUCUGUAAGCCGUUGAAGGUGUCCUGUGAGGGGUGCUGGAGGUAUCAGAAGUGCGAAUGCUGACAUAAGUAACGAUAAAGCGGGUGAAAAGCCCGCUCGCCGGAAGACCAAGGGUUCCUGUCCAACGUUAAUCGGGGCAGGGUGAGUCGACCCCUAAGGCGAGGCCGAAAGGCGUAGUCGAUGGGAAACGGGUUAAUAUUCCCGUACUUGGUGUUACUGCGAAGGGGGGACGGAGAAGGCUAUGUUGGCCGGGCGACGGUAGUCCCGGUUUAAGCGUGUAGGCUGGUUUUCCAGGCAAAUCCGGAAAAUCAAGGCUGAGGCGUGAUGACGAGGCACCACGGUGCUGAAGCAACAAAUGCCCUGCUUCCAGGAAAAGCCUCUAAGCAUCAGGUAACAUCAAAUCGUACCCCAAACCGACACAGGUGGUCAGGUAGAGAAUACCAAGGCGCUUGAGAGAACUCGGGUGAAGGAACUAGGCAAAAUGGUGCCGUAACUUCGGGAGAAGGCACGCUGACACGUAGGUGAAGUGAUUUACUCACGGAGCUGAAGUCAGUCGAAGAUACCAGCUGGCUGCAACUGUUUAUUAAAAACACAGCACUGUGCAAACACGAAAGUGGACGUAUACGGUGUGACGCCUGCCCGGUGCCGGAAGGUUAAUUGAUGGGGUCAGCGCAAGCGAAGCUCCUGAUCGAAGCCCCGGUAAACGGCGGCCGUAACUAUAACGGUCCUAAGGUAGCGAAAUUCCUUGUCGGGUAAGUUCCGACCUGCACGAAUGGCGUAAUGAUGGCCAGGCUGUCUCCACCCGAGACUCAGUGAAAUUGAACUCGCUGUGAAGAUGCAGUGUACCCGCGGCAAGACGGAAAGACCCCGUGAACCUUUACUAUAGCUUGACACUGAACAUUGAGCCUUGAUGUGUAGGAUAGGUGGGAGGCUUUGAAGCGUGGACGCCAGUCUGCGUGGAGCCGACCUUGAAAUACCACCCUUUAAUGUUUGAUGUUCUAACGUGGACCCGUAAUCCGGGUUGCGGACAGUGUCUGGUGGGUAGUUUGACUGGGGCGGUCUCCUCCUAAAGAGUAACGGAGGAGCACGAAGGUUGGCUAAUCCUGGUCGGACAUCAGGAGGUUAGUGCAAUGGCAUAAGCCAGCUUGACUGCGAGCGUGACGGCGCGAGCAGGUGCGAAAGCAGGUCAUAGUGAUCCGGUGGUUCUGAAUGGAAGGGCCAUCGCUCAACGGAUAAAAGGUACUCCGGGGAUAACAGGCUGAUACCGCCCAAGAGUUCAUAUCGACGGCGGUGUUUGGCACCUCGAUGUCGGCUCAUCACAUCCUGGGGCUGAAGUAGGUCCCAAGGGUAUGGCUGUUCGCCAUUUAAAGUGGUACGCGAGCUGGGUUUAGAACGUCGUGAGACAGUUCGGUCCCUAUCUGCCGUGGGCGCUGGAGAAUUGAGGGGGGCUGCUCCUAGUACGAGAGGACCGGAGUGGACGCAUCACUGGUGUUCGGGUUGUCAUGCCAAUGGCACUGCCCGGUAGCUAAAUGCGGAAAAGAUAAGUGCUGAAAGCAUCUAAGCACGAAACUUGCCCCGAGAUGAGUUCUCCCUGAGACUUUGAGUCUCCUGAAGGAACGUUAAAGACGAUGACGUUGAUAGGCCGGGUGUGUAAGCGCAGCGAUGCGUUGAGCUAACCGGUACUAAUGAACCGUGAGGCUUAACCUUACAACGCCGAAGGUGUUU